This 254-nucleotide ribosomal RNA is filed under the name uncultured bacterium. RNAcentral describes it as "partial 16S ribosomal RNA". It matches the Rfam family "Bacterial small subunit ribosomal RNA", at positions 524 to 776 of the family's 1533-position model. The record is from RNAcentral.
CACGUAGGGUGCGAGCGUUGUCCGGAAUUAUUGGGCGUAAAGAGCUCGUAGGCGGUGUGUCGCGUCGGCCGUGAAAACUUGCAGCUUAACUGUGGGCGUGCGGUCGAUACGGGCAUCACUGGAGUUCGGCAGGGGAGACUGGAAUUCCUGGUGUAGCGGUGAAAUGCGCAGAUAUCAGGAGGAACACCGGUGGCGAAGGCGGGUCUCUGGGCCGGUACUGACGCUGAGGUGCGAAAGCGUGGGGAGCAAACAGG